GCCUGCUGAGGUGCGGCAAGAGCUGCCGGCCGGCUCCGACGGAUCAAUUACCUGCGGCCGGACAUCAAGCGCGACAACUUCUCCGAUGAGGAGGAGCAGUCAAUCAUCCAACUUCAUCAGAUGCUCGGCAACAGGUUAUCUUCUCUGCCUUUGGAUUUACUGGUGACCUGAUGAGUACUUCAGGUUCACGAACUGGAUCAUCAUGUGUGGGAGAGCCUGUGUCUCCACUCUGCCCCUGUGAAAAUAUGGAAGUGAUGAUACAGUGGAUUUCAUUGGCCAUGCACUUGCCCUCCAUAGGAAGGAUCGUCACCUCAAUGAACCCGCAUUGAGAUGAUACAGUGGAAUCUAUAAGAAUCAUUACAAAUUACUGUAUUGAAAAGGAUUACUCGGUAAG
This is a long non-coding RNA of Lolium perenne, 394 nucleotides long. RefSeq lists it as uncharacterized. The record is from RefSeq and is a predicted model, not a curated record. Lineage: Eukaryota; Viridiplantae; Streptophyta; Magnoliopsida; Poales; Poaceae.